RNAcentral lists this ribosomal RNA (2931 nucleotides) under Escherichia coli. RNAcentral's name for it is "bacterial LSU rRNA". It matches the Rfam family "Bacterial large subunit ribosomal RNA". Lineage: Bacteria; Pseudomonadati; Pseudomonadota; Gammaproteobacteria; Enterobacterales; Enterobacteriaceae. The record is from RNAcentral. RNAcentral also lists the same sequence under 1 other name.
GGGUUGUGAGGUUAAGCGACUAAGCGUACACGGUGGAUGCCCUGGCAGUCAGAGGCGAUGAAGGACGUGCUAAUCUGCGAUAAGCGUCGGUAAGGUGAUAUGAACCGUUAUAACCGGCGAUUUCCGAAUGGGGAAACCCAGUGUGUUUCGACACACUAUCAUUAACUGAAUCCAUAGGUUAAUGAGGCGAACCGGGGGAACUGAAACAUCUAAGUACCCCGAGGAAAAGAAAUCAACCGAGAUUCCCCCAGUAGCGGCGAGCGAACGGGGAGCAGCCCAGAGCCUGAAUCAGUGUGUGUGUUAGUGGAAGCGUCUGGAAAGGCGCGCGAUACAGGGUGACAGCCCCGUACACAAAAAUGCACAUGCUGUGAGCUCGAUGAGUAGGGCGGGACACGUGGUAUCCUGUCUGAAUAUGGGGGGACCAUCCUCCAAGGCUAAAUACUCCUGACUGACCGAUAGUGAACCAGUACCGUGAGGGAAAGGCGAAAAGAACCCCGGCGAGGGGAGUGAAAAAGAACCUGAAACCGUGUACGUACAAGCAGUGGGAGCACGCUUAGGCGUGUGACUGCGUACCUUUUGUAUAAUGGGUCAGCGACUUAUAUUCUGUAGCAAGGUUAACCGAAUAGGGGAGCCGAAGGGAAACCGAGUCUUAACUGGGCGUUAAGUUGCAGGGUAUAGACCCGAAACCCGGUGAUCUAGCCAUGGGCAGGUUGAAGGUUGGGUAACACUAACUGGAGGACCGAACCGACUAAUGUUGAAAAAUUAGCGGAUGACUUGUGGCUGGGGGUGAAAGGCCAAUCAAACCGGGAGAUAGCUGGUUCUCCCCGAAAGCUAUUUAGGUAGCGCCUCGUGAAUUCAUCUCCGGGGGUAGAGCACUGUUUCGGCAAGGGGGUCAUCCCGACUUACCAACCCGAUGCAAACUGCGAAUACCGGAGAAUGUUAUCACGGGAGACACACGGCGGGUGCUAACGUCCGUCGUGAAGAGGGAAACAACCCAGACCGCCAGCUAAGGUCCCAAAGUCAUGGUUAAGUGGGAAACGAUGUGGGAAGGCCCAGACAGCCAGGAUGUUGGCUUAGAAGCAGCCAUCAUUUAAAGAAAGCGUAAUAGCUCACUGGUCGAGUCGGCCUGCGCGGAAGAUGUAACGGGGCUAAACCAUGCACCGAAGCUGCGGCAGCGACGCUUAUGCGUUGUUGGGUAGGGGAGCGUUCUGUAAGCCUGCGAAGGUGUGCUGUGAGGCAUGCUGGAGGUAUCAGAAGUGCGAAUGCUGACAUAAGUAACGAUAAAGCGGGUGAAAAGCCCGCUCGCCGGAAGACCAAGGGUUCCUGUCCAACGUUAAUCGGGGCAGGGUGAGUCGACCCCUAAGGCGAGGCCGAAAGGCGUAGUCGAUGGGAAACAGGUUAAUAUUCCUGUACUUGGUGUUACUGCGAAGGGGGGACGGAGAAGGCUAUGUUGGCCGGGCGACGGUUGUCCCGGUUUAAGCGUGUAGGCUGGUUUUCCAGGCAAAUCCGGAAAAUCAAGGCUGAGGCGUGAUGACGAGGCACUACGGUGCUGAAGCAACAAAUGCCCUGCUUCCAGGAAAAGCCUCUAAGCAUCAGGUAACAUCAAAUCGUACCCCAAACCGACACAGGUGGUCAGGUAGAGAAUACCAAGGCGCUUGAGAGAACUCGGGUGAAGGAACUAGGCAAAAUGGUGCCGUAACUUCGGGAGAAGGCACGCUGAUAUGUAGGUGAAGCGACUUGCUCGUGGAGCUGAAAUCAGUCGAAGAUACCAGCUGGCUGCAACUGUUUAUUAAAAACACAGCACUGUGCAAACACGAAAGUGGACGUAUACGGUGUGACGCCUGCCCGGUGCCGGAAGGUUAAUUGAUGGGGUUAGCGCAAGCGAAGCUCUUGAUCGAAGCCCCGGUAAACGGCGGCCGUAACUAUAACGGUCCUAAGGUAGCGAAAUUCCUUGUCGGGUAAGUUCCGACCUGCACGAAUGGCGUAAUGAUGGCCAGGCUGUCUCCACCCGAGACUCAGUGAAAUUGAACUCGCUGUGAAGAUGCAGUGUACCCGCGGCAAGACGGAAAGACCCCGUGAACCUUUACUAUAGCUUGACACUGAACAUUGAGCCUUGAUGUGUAGGAUAGGUGGGAGGCUUUGAAGUGUGGACGCCAGUCUGCAUGGAGCCGACCUUGAAAUACCACCCUUUAAUGUUUGAUGUUCUAACGUUGACCCGUAAUCCGGGUUGCGGACAGUGUCUGGUGGGUAGUUUGACUGGGGCGGUCUCCUCCUAAAGAGUAACGGAGGAGCACGAAGGUUGGCUAAUCCUGGUCGGACAUCAGGAGGUUAGUGCAAUGGCAUAAGCCAGCUUGACUGCGAGCGUGACGGCGCGAGCAGGUGCGAAAGCAGGUCAUAGUGAUCCGGUGGUUCUGAAUGGAAGGGCCAUCGCUCAACGGAUAAAAGGUACUCCGGGGAUAACAGGCUGAUACCGCCCAAGAGUUCAUAUCGACGGCGGUGUUUGGCACCUCGAUGUCGGCUCAUCACAUCCUGGGGCUGAAGUAGGUCCCAAGGGUAUGGCUGUUCGCCAUUUAAAGUGGUACGCGAGCUGGGUUUAGAACGUCGUGAGACAGUUCGGUCCCUAUCUGCCGUGGGCGCUGGAGAACUGAGGGGGGCUGCUCCUAGUACGAGAGGACCGGAGUGGACGCAUCACUGGUGUUCGGGUUGUCAUGCCAAUGGCACUGCCCGGUAGCUAAAUGCGGAAGAGAUAAGUGCUGAAAGCAUCUAAGCACGAAACUUGCCCCGAGAUGAGUUCUCCCUGACUCCUUGAGAGUCCUGAAGGAACGUUGAAGACGACGACGUUGAUAGGCCGGGUGUGUAAGCGCAGCGAUGCGUUGAGCUAACCGGUACUAAUGAACCGUGAGGCUUAACCUUACAACGCCGAAGGUGUUU